AUUGAACGCUAGCGGGAUGCUUUACACAUGCAAGUCGAACGGCAGCGCGGACUUCGGUCUGGCGGCGAGUGGCGAACGGGUGAGUAAUGUAUCGGAACGUGCCCAGUAGCGGGGGAUAACUACGCGAAAGCGUAGCUAAUACCGCAUACGCCCUACGGGGGAAAGCAGGGGAUCGUAAGACCUUGCACUAUUGGAGCGGCCGAUAUCGGAUUAGCUAGUUGGUGAGGUAACGGCUCACCAAGGCGACGAUCCAUAGCUGGUUUGAGAGGACGACCAGCCACACUGGGACUGAGACACGGCCCAGACUCCUACGGGAGGCAGCAGUGGGGAAUUUUGGACAAUGGGGGCAACCCUGAUCCAGCCAUCCCGCGUGUGCGAUGAAGGCCUUCGGGUUGUAAAGCACUUUUGGCAGGAAAGAAACGUCGCGGGCUAAUACCCCGUGGAACUGACGGUACCUGCAGAAUAAGCACCGGCUAACUACGUG
This 484-nucleotide ribosomal RNA is filed under the name uncultured bacterium. RNAcentral describes it as "partial 16S ribosomal RNA". It matches the Rfam family "Bacterial small subunit ribosomal RNA", at positions 30 to 507 of the family's 1533-position model. The record is from RNAcentral.